Molecule: ribosomal RNA, 119 nt
Filed under: uncultured archaeon
Lineage: Archaea
Description: partial 16S ribosomal RNA
Rfam family: Archaeal small subunit ribosomal RNA
Source: RNAcentral
GCGAGAAAACUUUGCAAUGUGCGAAAGCACGACAAGGUUAAUCCGAGUGGUUUCUGCUAAAGAAACCUUUUGCCAGUCCUAGAAACACUGGUGAAUAAGGGGUGGGCAAGUUCUGGUGU